GAGUUUGAUCUUGGCUCAGGAUGAACGCUGGCGGCGUGCCUAACACAUGCAAGUCGAACGGAGUUUAUGAGGAAGAAGCUUCGGCGGAAUUCUUAUAAACUUAGUGGCGGACGGGUGAGUAACACGUGGAGAACCUGCCUCUUACCGGGGCGAGCAGUUGGAACGAACUGAUAAUACCGCAUAAGCGCACGAGACCGCAUGGUCCUGUGUGAAAGAAUUUAUUCGGUAAGAGAUGGC
RNAcentral lists this ribosomal RNA (237 nucleotides) under uncultured microorganism. RNAcentral's name for it is "partial 16S ribosomal RNA". It matches the Rfam family "Bacterial small subunit ribosomal RNA", at positions 9 to 229 of the family's 1533-position model. The record is from RNAcentral.